RNAcentral lists this long non-coding RNA (442 nucleotides) under Mytilus galloprovincialis (Mediterranean mussel). Lineage: Eukaryota; Metazoa; Mollusca; Bivalvia; Mytilida; Mytilidae. The record is from RNAcentral.
GGCGGCGGCAGCGUUAGCUAACUUCUUAAAAGCUUUAUAUUUUAAAAGGUAGAAGACCUGGAUGCUUCAUACUUUGUAUAUAGAUGCCUCAUGUUACAAACUUUCCGUCAGUCACAUGUCCAAUGUCCUUGACCUCAUUUUCAUGGUUCAGUGACUACUUGAAAAAAAAGUUAAGAUUUUUUGUAAUGUUAAAUUAUCUCUUAUUAUAAGUAAUUGGAUAACUAUAUUUGGUAUGUGCGUACCUUGCAAGGUCCUCAUGCCCGUCAGACAAUUUUCACUUGACCUCGACCUCAAUUCAUGGAUCAGUGAACAAGGUUAAGUUUUGGUGGACAAGUCCAUAUCUCAGAUACUAUAAGCAAUAGGUCUAGUAUAUUCGGUGUAUGGAAGGACUGUAAGGUGUACAUGUCCAACUGGCAGGUGUCAUCUGACCUUGACCUCAUUU